Molecule: non-coding RNA, 45 nt
Filed under: Paramuricea clavata
Lineage: Eukaryota; Metazoa; Cnidaria; Anthozoa; Malacalcyonacea; Plexauridae
Rfam family: Histone 3' UTR stem-loop
About the family: The mRNAs of metazoan histone genes lack a poly-A tail.
Source: RNAcentral
AAAACGGCUCUUUUAAGAGCUACCAAAUCUAUGAAGGAAUAUGAG